GGCAGUUCUCGGAUGACGCACCCCGGAAUUGGGCUCCCUCCUCUCUGGUUCCGGGUACGACACCCGAGAACCGCA
Molecule: non-coding RNA, 75 nt
Organism: Myotis brandtii (Brandt's bat)
Lineage: Eukaryota; Metazoa; Chordata; Mammalia; Chiroptera; Vespertilionidae
Source: Rfam